CUCCCCCUCUAUUUCCCAGACUCCAGAGACUAAUCCUUCCUUCAGUUGGUUUUGCUGCUACUAUGGCAAUAUUUUCUCCCCCAUAGUGGUAAUCAUACAAUGGUCUCUGAGAACAGCAGGAGAAACGGUGCCUGUUAGAUGCAUAAAAGCAGCUGGAGCUCCUAAAUAACAGCAGCCAGCACGGGGAACCUGGCCUCGGGGCUGGGGCACCUGCAGCCCCUUCAGCCGUGUCAGCAUGCAGGACCAGGUCAGCCUCCGGAAUUACAGAGGUGCAGAGGAUGUCACGCACCAUCUUUUACAGAUGCCACCUGCCUCAGCCCAAGGAGUCCAGCAUUGUCCUCGUGCUUGCUCGUGAGCACAGCGUGGGAGAGCAGCCGGCAGGGGAGCAUCGAGCAUCCAUCGCCCCCCCGUCCCUCCACUGCAGCUCCAGCUCUGGUCUGCCGUGAUGCCCUGCUGUGGCAAAGCAAAGACACUGCGGCACCAUCAAACCUUUACAGAGAGAGGCUUUUGUUUAAU
RNAcentral lists this long non-coding RNA (516 nucleotides) under Anas platyrhynchos platyrhynchos (common mallard). RNAcentral's name for it is "lncRNA (ENSAPLG00000026134.1)". Lineage: Eukaryota; Metazoa; Chordata; Aves; Anseriformes; Anatidae. The record is from RNAcentral.